CAGCUUGACCUGAUUACGAAUUCGAGCUCGGUACCCGGGGAUCCUCUAGAGAUUAUUCCGGUUGAUCCCGGCGGACCUGACUGCUAUCGGAUUGAUACUAAGCCAUGCGAGUCAUUGUAGCAAUACAAGGCAGACGGCUCAGUAACGCGUAGUCAAUCUACCCUAUGGACGGGAAUAACCUCGGGAAACUGAGAAUAAUGCCCGACAGAACAUUAUACCUGGAACGGUUUAUGUUUCAAAUGAUUUAUCGCCGUAGGAUGGGACUGCGGCCUAUCAGUUUGUUGGUGAGGUAAUGGCCCACCAAGACUAUUACAGGUACGGGCUCUGAGAGGAGUAGCCCGGAGAUGGGUACUGAGACACGGACCCAGGCCCUAUGGGGCGCAGCAGGCGAGAAAACUUUGCAAUGUGCGAAAGCACGACAAGGUUAAUCCGAGUGGUUUCUGCUAAAGAAACCUUUUGCUAGUCCUA
RNAcentral lists this ribosomal RNA (468 nucleotides) under uncultured marine crenarchaeote. Its description in RNAcentral is "bacterial SSU rRNA". The stretch from base 55 to 468 matches the Rfam family "Archaeal small subunit ribosomal RNA", at positions 1 to 421 of the family's 1478-position model. The record is from RNAcentral. Lineage: Archaea; Thermoproteati; Thermoproteota.